GACGAACGCUGGCGGCGUGCUUAACACAUGCAAGUCGAACGGAAAGGCCCUUCUUUGCAGGGGUACUCGAGUGGCGAACGGGUGAGUAACACGUGGGUGACCUGCCCUGGACUUUGGGAUAACUUCGGGAAACUGGGUCUAAUACCGGAUAGGACGACCGGCUGCAUGCUAUUGUGGAAAGUUUUUCGGCGUGGGAUGAGCUCGCGGCGUAUCAGCUUGUUGGUGGGGUAGUGGCCUACCAAGGCGUCGACGGGUAGCCGGCCUGAGAGGGUGGACGGCCACAUUGGGACUGAGAUACGGCCCAGACUCCUACGGGAGGCAGCAGUGGGGAAUAUUGCACAAUGGGCGGAAGCCUGAUGCAGCAACGCCGCGUGGGGGAUGACGGCCUUCGGGUUGUAAACUGCUUUCGCUAGGGACGAAGCGCGAGUGACGGUACCUGGUAAAGAAGCACCGGCUAACUACGUG
RNAcentral lists this ribosomal RNA (465 nucleotides) under uncultured bacterium. RNAcentral describes it as "partial 16S ribosomal RNA". It matches the Rfam family "Bacterial small subunit ribosomal RNA", at positions 28 to 507 of the family's 1533-position model. The record is from RNAcentral.